GUUGACAGGGAAAAUAGAGGGGUUUGACAGGGAUUGGCAGGGAUUACAUCCUCUACAAGUCAAAACCUCCUCCAAUCCACCCCAAUCCCCCUGUGAGGAGGUGUAACCGAACAAAGCCUCAAGGAUUUGGUCGCCCGACACGAGACGCCGCCGCCCGACUCGACACGCCGCCGCGACUCCUCCCAAGACCCCGUCGCCGACUCCUCCGCAAGACGCCGCGCCGCCCGACGCCUCAACGCCUCGACGCCGGCGAUCUCCUCCGUCAUACUAGACUUCUCCCCGGUGGUUAGUCAUCGCAGCCCCUCCCCUCCCCCCUCCUCUCCAUGGCUGCCACAUCUCGCACGCCCUCCGUUCGCCUCUUUCUCACUAGUGAACACGCCAAGAACGGCGGUGACAUGCUCAAUUUCAUGCUCCUCUUGAGUUUGAGUGUGAGUUUCAGUGACGGGCAUCGGGGCCGGAGCCGGAAGUGAGGCCUCCGGGAAGUCGUCGGGGUAGGGGGCGGGCGGGGGGGCUGAAGCGCGGGCCUCCAGGUAGGAGGCGGAGGGCGUCAGAUCUCGCGGGUAGACUGCGCUGGCACUGGAGCUGGCGGCGGCCAACCUCCUCUGCAAUUUCUGCAAGAUCGAAGCAUGGAAUUGGGUUAGGAUUCAAUUUGUCUGUCAGUCUGUGAUUUGGAAAUUGCUACAACUGAAGGAGCAGAGAAAAAGACGGAGGGACCUGGUCCUUGGGAUAUAGGAUUGUAGGUGCGAGAAUGCGACAGCCUAUCUUUAGCGCACCAUCUGCCAUAAUUUUAGUGGCCAGUGUUGAAUCUGCAGCUAUGAGCAUAUUAACAGAAACAGGCAAAGCCAAAUGUUUAGCUGGAAGAUGUUCCAGCUGCAGCCAAACAUGCCUGCUAAAAAUAGCUCCCACUUCUUUGAUCAAGAUGUAAUUUAGGUGCAGGACUGGAUCAGUGGGUGUUAUUUUCCAGUUCACUUGAACUAGAAAAUAUGUAUCUAUCUCGAAAGUGUAGAUGCUCUGCUCAGUGUAUCAGCAGAUGCACUGAAGCACUGAACUGUGAUGAUCAGAGUAAUACACUAGUUUUAGUUUCGAAGAUUGUUGUUUGUUUGAUGAUCGAUCAUAUGUAAGCAACCAGAUAUCGACCGUUGCAGUUCAAUUAGCAACGUUGACUCCCACCAUUGUUCAGCCAUACCAUGGAUAUCUAUCUAAACUUGGAGUACACUGACGUCCCUGGCCCUAGCCCCUCUUUUGAGGAUAAAUUGGCAGAUUGUAAACCACCUUUUUCAUUGUUGAUUGUAAUGGCAGUGUGCUGUCACCAUGGAGAAAACAUACCUAUCACUUCCACAGUGUUAGUUUUGAUCUGGAUAUGUUCCCCCUCUGGCAUAAUCCCACAAGUUAGUACUGGCCCAUGUCAUUUCACCUAGUCACAGUGAUGAUAGGUUCAGACCAGAAUAGUUGUUAGUUUCGGAGUCAAUUAGCCCGUGGAGUACAAGUCAAUGAUGUAUAGCAGAUUCAACUGGAGGUCUAUGACAUUACUAUUAUGUUACACGUGGUGAGUGCCAUGACCAAAUAUGACAUGGCACUGUCAAAAAAUGCUUACUAAUAGCUUUUGAUUUCUGUUUACUACUGUCUGAUGUCGAUAUGUUCUUAUUUUGACAGCCAACAGCCUGGGUUCUUGUUGGGAUGGCGGGUUGCCUCCAUCUUGGGAUCCAAUCGUCAGUUUUAUGUUGUAGGCUGACUCAACUUGUACGUCUCCCAUCUAGGUUGGGCGGUGAUCCUUUCUGAACGGGGCCUUUUCAUUGUUUCAUUAGCCUGCCAAUUCUACAUAAAUAUCCUUUGUCCUGACAAAAGGUUGUUCCUGAAAAAAGAUUUACAAUUCCUGCCAUAGUAUCCAUUUUGUUCAGCUAUUUGCUGUAAUCUUUUUUUCUAAAGGCACUCUAAUGUUCAUAUCUUUUGUUUCAUCGGGUUCUCAUGCACCAAAAGAAGCAACAAAAGAUGGAUACAUUUCUCUCAAGCACUCUGGAUGAAUGAAUUUCUCUCAGGUUGUCGAUGCUAGAUGACCAUGACACCAAAAGAACAUUUGUAUGCAUUAUCUUCGUUGCAAAAUGAUAUUGUGGCUGUGAUGAACUGUUUGCUACGAAAGAUUAUGUUGUUAUGAUAAAUUAUGAAUGCUGGGAUUUGGGUUUCAAAGACAUUUUGUUAUGAUAAAUUAUGUAGUUGUUGUGAUGAGAUAUUGAUUUCAUCUUGUGAAAGCAGCAACACGGCCUAUGAGCUUGGUGAUAAACAUGAUGCUUCAAAUUAUGUUGUUAUGAUAAAGAGGUGGUGCUGCUGCUUGAAGUCAUUUUUAUCAAUUCUGCAGCAAGGAUAUAAAGGGAGUUAGUUACAUCAUAAAGAUUGGAUUUUUAAAUGUUCUACACCAUGUUAUGUCAACAUGACAAACCCUUCCUACCAAAUAGAGAUUUUAAACAAAGAGGAUUGUGAAAG
Molecule: long non-coding RNA, 2478 nt
Filed under: Triticum aestivum (bread wheat)
Lineage: Eukaryota; Viridiplantae; Streptophyta; Magnoliopsida; Poales; Poaceae
Description: long non-coding RNA (TAES_LNC001415)
Source: RNAcentral